Molecule: ribosomal RNA, 301 nt
Filed under: uncultured bacterium
Lineage: Bacteria
Description: partial 16S ribosomal RNA
Rfam family: Bacterial small subunit ribosomal RNA
Source: RNAcentral
CAGUAGCCGCGGGAAUACAGAGGGUGCGAGCGUUAAUCGGAUUUACUGGGCGUAAAGCGUGCGUAGGCGGCUAAUUGAGUCGGAUGUGAAAUCCCCGAGCUUAACUUGGGAAUUGCAUUCGAUACUGGUUAGCUAGAGUGUGGGAGAGGAUGGUAGAAUUCCAGGUGUAGCGGUGAAAUGCGUAGAGAUCUGGAGGAAUACCGAUGGCGAAGGCAGCCAUCUGGCCUAACACUGACGCUGAGGUACGAAAGCAUGGGGAGCAAACAGGAUUAGAGACCCCUGUAGUCCCUGUCUCUUAUAC